This 678-nucleotide long non-coding RNA is filed under the name Marmota monax (woodchuck). The record is from RNAcentral. Lineage: Eukaryota; Metazoa; Chordata; Mammalia; Rodentia; Sciuridae.
GUGGAAAAGACAGAAGAUUGAUGUGGGUGGAACAAGUUAACAAGCAGGGAAGGAAGUGAUAUGCUCUUGGGCCAGGUGACACAGGGCUAGCAGGCCAUGGGUUUUACUGUGAGAGCAAUGGGAAGUCACUGGAGAGACUGAAAGUGUUCUGGAUCUGUGGUAUGUGGGUGAUUUUAUAUAUACAAAGUUGUAUGCAGCCAUGCACUUAAGGUUUGUGCAAUUUAUUGUAUUUUUUAUUGAAAUAAUAUUUUUAAAAUAAAAAAGUAAACAUGAGCACUUGAUUAUUUUUACCCCUCUCACUUUUGAUGUGGUGAAUGGUAGGACUGUGUGAGAAGAUUUUGGUUUGGGGAAGGCUAGGAAAGUUGUUUUACCAGGAAUUGAACCCAGGGGCGCUUAUCCACUGAGCCACAUCCCCAGCCCUUUUUAUUUUUUAGAAAUGGUCUCGCUAAGUUGCUUAGGGCCUAAAUUGCUGAGGCUGGCUUUGAACUUGUGAUCCUCCUGCCUCAGCCUUCCCAGCUGCUGGGAUUACAGACAUGUGCCACCAUUCCCUGUGGGAAGUUUUUGUGUUUAUAAAAUGUGUGAAUUGAAUUCUUGUUCUGGUUUCAUCAUAGGUAGUAGUGACACUAAAAUUAGGCAAAUUUUUAAAUUUCCACUUUAAAAAAAUUGCUGGUAUAGAAC